CCAAUAGCGUAUAUUAAAGUUGUUGUGGUUAAAAAGCUCGUAGUUGAACCUUGGGCCUGGCUGGCCGGUCCGCCUCACCGCGUGCACUGGUCCGGCCGGGCCUUUCCCUCUGUGGAACCCCAUGCCCUUCACUGGGUGUGGCGGGGAAACAGGACUUUUACUUUGAAAAAAUUAGAGUGCUCCAGGCAGGCCUAUGCUCGAAUACAUUAGCAUGGAAUAAUAGAAUAGGACGUGCGGUUCUAUUUUGUUGGUUUCUAGGACCGCCGUAAUGAUUAAUAGGGACAGUCGGGGGCAUCAGUAUUCAAUUGUCAGAGGUGAAAUUCUUAGAUUUAUUGAAGACGAACUACUGCGAAAGCAUUCGCCAAGGAUGUUUUCAUUAAUCAGUGAACGAAAGUUAGGGGAUCGAAGACGAUCAGAUACCGUCGUAGUCUUAACCAUAAACUAUGCCGACUAGGGAUCGGAUGAUGUUAAUUUUAUAAUGACUCAUUCGGCGCCUUACG
RNAcentral lists this unclassified non-coding RNA (500 nucleotides) under uncultured Paraglomus. Its description in RNAcentral is "SSU rRNA". It matches the Rfam family "Eukaryotic small subunit ribosomal RNA", at positions 591 to 1092 of the family's 1831-position model. The record is from RNAcentral. Lineage: Eukaryota; Fungi; Glomeromycota; Glomeromycetes; Paraglomerales; Paraglomeraceae.